UAUAAGCGUAACAAUGAGUUUUCGUGUCCAAUUUUAGUCGUCCGUUUUAUGUGAAUCUUUUUUAUAAUUAGUAUUUUUUGUUGUUAUUAAUUUUUUAAAUAAGACAGUCGAUUAAAGUUGGAUAUGGAAACUCAUCGCUGUGCUUAUA
Oryza punctata is the source of this 148-nucleotide non-coding RNA. The record is from Rfam. NCBI's taxonomy places the organism in Eukaryota, Viridiplantae, Streptophyta, Magnoliopsida, Poales, Poaceae.